Molecule: ribosomal RNA, 248 nt
Filed under: uncultured Aeriscardovia sp.
Lineage: Bacteria; Bacillati; Actinomycetota; Actinomycetes; Bifidobacteriales; Bifidobacteriaceae
Description: partial 16S ribosomal RNA
Rfam family: Bacterial small subunit ribosomal RNA
Source: RNAcentral
CACGCCGUAAACGGUGGAUGCUGGAUGUGGGGCCCAUUUCCACGGGUCCCGUGUCGGAGCCAACGCGUUAAGCAUCCCGCCUGGGGAGUACGGCCGCAAGGCUAAAACUCAAAGAAAUUGACGGGGGCCCGCACAAGCGGCGGAGCAUGCGGUUUAAUUCGAUGCAACGCGAAGAACCUUACCUGGGUUUGACAUGUGGACGGCGGAUCCGGAGACGGGUCCUCCCUUCGGGGCGUCCUCACAGGUGG